GCCACGCGCCCCUCCUUGUAAUCCGCACACCUCCAGCUGAGGGAACAAAACCGGGUCCAGCUAAUCCCGCGGGGUCCUGCCUUGAAGCUGUUGCACGGAUCCUGCGGCAGGAGCGGAGGGUUGAGCCACGAGGCACGUCUGGGUCCCCACGGUGAUGGGACAGAGGUGACCCCAUUGACCAGACACACAGGAUCCAUGGGGGAAAGCUCCUGCUGCCACGAGCCCCAGAGCUCUGAGCCCUGUAGGUGGGACAAGGAGGUGAAACCACUUCCCAGCCCAUAAAUGAUGCCAGGCUGCUGCAGUGAGAGUUGCAGGAUCAGGGGGAAGGGAAAACCCUCGUGCUCAGAGUACCCGAGGAGAAGGGAGAGGAGCUGUGCUGGAGUCUGGGCUGCUCAUGCAUUUCACAUACAGAGCCACUGGAUCAAACAAACAGCAAAGCCCCAGGAGAAAUCCCAGAGGCUCUUAAAUCCCAUAUUUCCUCAUUGCUAUGGAAGAAGCGUGCGCUGCGCGGGGAAAGGAGUCAAUUUGCUGAUAAAAACAGACUUGGAGCUGCCUCACUGGAACAAACAGGAGCAGAGAACAUCCGCCCUUGGGAUCUAAACUUGCUGUGCUGUUACAGACUGCACCCCAAUUAAAACCACAAAAAGCUGCCUUCCCCUUUCUCCAAAAUCCACUCCAGAAGACAAGAAGCUGUUCCUGAUAUACUGCAGUAAAAGCAAUCUGGUUGACUGUCUUUGGAGAGCUCUGCUCUCUCCAGAAGGAGGAAUCUCUCCCGCAUCCAUACACGCUCAUUCCUGC
Molecule: long non-coding RNA, 798 nt
Organism: Lepidothrix coronata (blue-crowned manakin)
Lineage: Eukaryota; Metazoa; Chordata; Aves; Passeriformes; Pipridae
Exons: 4
Source: RefSeq, a predicted model, not a curated record